Long non-coding RNA from Hemicordylus capensis (graceful crag lizard), 793 nucleotides. RefSeq lists it as uncharacterized. The transcript is spliced from 3 exons. Lineage: Eukaryota; Metazoa; Chordata; Lepidosauria; Squamata; Cordylidae. The record is from RefSeq and is a predicted model, not a curated record.
GACCAAGCGUAGUAAAAGAAUCCACUUACGGUUUCCUCAUAUGAUGACUCGAAUGCCAGGGUUCCAAGUGUGUAGUGGCCUUCCUACGUACAUGAAAACUAUGUAAACUGUUCCAUCAUCCAACUUAGGCUUUGUAUACUCAGACAAAGAACGAUGGGUGAAAAAGAUGGAGACCACAAAGUACCCAUGGAAUGCUGUUGCAAUCCCUCAGAGUAAACUUCAUUUCCACAUAAAUUUUCUGGGCUGCAUCACGGGAGAUCCAAUUUGAACGAAGCCAGUUGUUUUGGUUGGGUUCCAUGACAUUACAUACCUGCACUUCCCUUCUGAAGAGGCAGAGAGUUGGACAAAUGAGAGAAGCAGCUGACAAGAGAAGAUGGGAGAGUGUGGGUGGGAAGAUGGAGGUUAGAAGAAAAAAUGUGCAUAGUAUGCUCUGUGCAUCUUGGGUGAUGAAAUUAAAUCGGUUUGUGUUGUGUGGCAUGCAUGAUGUGGUGGGUGGAGUCAAGUUGAGAGAUAAUGUAAGAAGAGCAGAUUGAUAGUGUGUGGGGAAAUCAAUGUGCUGCAUAGGGUUAGGACUAGGGGCAGUGGCUUAUCACUGGUGGUGGGCCAGGCCUGACUUAUCUCAUCCAGGAUAUCACAAUGGCAAUAAUGAAUCUUUGAAGUAAUUGCUGUUAAACUAUUUUCCCCCAGAAAAAGGGUGCUAGACUGCAAUUUGCAGACAGUUUAGUUUAGACCUGUUUAAAGCAAAGGGGAUUCCUCUGGAAUUGACCUGGUUGAGGACAGAUGUACAUUCAAA